This 2253-nucleotide long non-coding RNA is filed under the name Panax ginseng (ginseng). RNAcentral describes it as "long non-coding RNA (PGIN_LNC013507)". The record is from RNAcentral. Lineage: Eukaryota; Viridiplantae; Streptophyta; Magnoliopsida; Apiales; Araliaceae.
UAGACUUCACCAGAAGCUCAAAACAUUUCACUUAACUAAAACAACCUGAAAAACUGAGCUUUUUAUCUUAUAAGAAUAAUCCAAGAUUAAUUAACUAAAACAACCUAAAAAUGACUAGUAAGAGGGUAUACCGGUUCCGAUCCUAAAUUACAGUCCGGUGAGUAGUGAACAGUUUCUUUCAUGCCAGAAACAAUAUGCACGUCCUAAAAAUCAAAUAAACUAAUUUCACACUAAAACUAAUACAUACAUACUAUAACGAAGCAAAACCUAACAAAUGCUUACAAAGGCCAGAAAACCCAAAACAACAUAUUCCUUUCCGCUCAUUGUUUCAUUUCAAAUAUAUCAGGACACAAUAAGAAGGAAGAAAAUUAUUCUUCCAUUCGGAAUUUCUAAGCUAUUUGUCUAACUGGAUAAGAUUGAAUCGCAUCUUCAUUCAUGACUUCAUCUCUGGAUCUGUCAGCAAGGAAUGAACACAAUUGGAAACAAAUUACAAAACAAUAACAGAAAGAGACGUAUAAUUGAAACCAAAACAUUUACAUCCACUAAUCAACCCAGAAUAUGGUAUGAUAAUUCUUUUUGCUAAUAAUUUAAUAUAAACACAUGAAAGAUUACAAAAAUCUUAUAAUCCUUCAAUUUCGAUAUCAACUUUUUUUAAUUAUAUAUUGUCUGGUACAGCACACAGGUUUACAUUCAAUUCAAGUGAUGAAAUGAACACAUUCCAUCACACACUCCAAGUAUACAUAAAACUUAUGUGCAAAUAUCUUUUAAAUAAUAUAUUGUCUGGUACAGCACACAGGUUUACAUUCAAUUCAAGUGAUGAAAUGCAACACAUUCCAUCACACACUCCAAGUAUACAUAAAACUUAUGUGCAAAUAUCAAGCAUCCGUUGAUACCAAGAAAACGUGAAAAUACAUCAGACAAAUAUUUCAGCUGAUAUUCCAGAAGCUCCAUAACUACCCAUCAUUGCAUAAUAUCUUAGUUUCAUCUUUUCAUCAACCCCCACAAAACUAUAUCUUCAAUAUUUCGGAAAAUCUUUCACAACUCUAUCUUAUCCACUGUAAAAAUAAACGUAAAAUGGUGACCAGACUUCUCCUGUAAACCAAUGCCUCAAGACUUUCAAGUGACUAUAUUAAUAGUGAGGACAAUAAAAGCAUACAAAUAAACCCAUCAUUAUCAAUUCUGACCUCUCAAAAUUCUUACAGAACAGACCCCAACAUAUUAAACAAACAUAAUUUUACUUGAAGAAGUCUGGUCACCAACUGCUAAAUCUGUUUUCAUGCAUAGUAUAGCAUCUCCUGUAAACCAGCACCUAGAAUACAUAAAUAAUGAAGACAAUAAACCAUAUAAUCAUUCUGAACUCGUACAAUCUUGAAGCACUAAAAAACCUGAACCCAACCUCUUUCUUUUCCUUUUUCUCCACUGUACAGACCCCAACAUUCCAAAUUAAACAAACAUAAUUUACUUGAAGCAGUCUGGUCACCAACUGCUAAAUCUAUUUUUUCACCCUAGUCCAAAUCACCUAAAGGCGCUAUCAGGACAGAAGAAAUCCAGAUAAUAGAGAUCAUUAGCCUAUAUUCCAAUACUUUUUCUUUUAAAGAUAUAUAAACAAAUUACAAUGCUAUAUUCCUAUAUAAUAAGACUAUGGAAAGCCUGAAUAUUAACCAUUUUUGGAUGCCAAAAUAAAACUAGAUACAAGCAUUACUAGCCCAAAAAAUUAAUCAUGCCCAAAUGUCCCAUCACAUUCAGAACUUUCCUUGCUCAUUUGCCAGACAAAACAAGCUUUAGUAACAACUUUAUUGCUAAAAGAAGUUAAGCCAUCAUAGGUGCAUCACAACUUUUAAAGUCCCGUCACCUGCAAGAGUGGAAUUCAUAUACGAGAUGCAGGUGGAAUUCUUAUGGGAGGAAGAAGAAAUACUCAGGAAUGAGAUGCUUAUGAAGUUAAAUACAUAUAGCAUAGACAUAGUAAGCCACAUAAAUUAACUUGAAUAUUUUCGAGGAUCGGUAUUUAAAGUCGAAGUCUAAUCCAACAUCAUGCUAGCGCUUAGUCAAUUAUACAUGAACAUUCAAGAGUAAUUUUAGAAUGCAGAACGUUCCACUAAAAGCCUAAAAUACUUUUAGACAGCUCAAGUUCUAAAUAUGAGGAAGCUAUAUAUAAAAGCUACUACAUCAAUAGAACUAUAGAAGAUAUAAUCAAUUUCUUAGGACACGAAAAAAGAUAUAAUCCACUUAUUUUUUAUAUUUCCUUUAGACAGG